GGAUUGUGGCUCAGCGGUAGAGUGCUUGCCUAGCAUGGAAGGGUCCCGGGUUCGAUCCUCAGCACCA
Molecule: transfer RNA, 67 nt
Filed under: Marmota monax (woodchuck)
Lineage: Eukaryota; Metazoa; Chordata; Mammalia; Rodentia; Sciuridae
Description: tRNA.Ala
Source: RNAcentral